CAGCAGCCACGGUAAUACGGAGGGCGCGAGCGUUACCCGGAUUUACUGGGCGUAAAGUGUGCGUAGGCGGUGAGUUAAGUCUGCUGUGAAAGCCCUGGGCUCAACCUGGGAAUUGCAGUGGAUACUGGGUCACUAGAGUGUGGUAGAGGACAGUGGAAUUUCCGGUGUAGCAGUGAAAUGCGUAGAGAUCGGAAGGAACAUCUGUGGCGAAGGCGACUAUCUGGGCCAACACUGACACUGAGGCACGAAAGCGUGGGGAGCAAACAGGAUUAGAUACCCCUGUAGUCCCUGUCUCUUAUAC
Molecule: ribosomal RNA, 301 nt
Filed under: uncultured bacterium
Lineage: Bacteria
Description: partial 16S ribosomal RNA
Rfam family: Bacterial small subunit ribosomal RNA
Source: RNAcentral